RNAcentral lists this ribosomal RNA (253 nucleotides) under uncultured bacterium. Its description in RNAcentral is "partial 16S ribosomal RNA". It matches the Rfam family "Bacterial small subunit ribosomal RNA", at positions 524 to 776 of the family's 1533-position model. The record is from RNAcentral.
UACGUAGGGUCCGAGCGUUGUCCGGAGUUACUGGGCGUAAAGCGCGCGCAGGCGGCGGCGUUGGCCCGGCGUGAAAGCCCCCGGCUCAACCGGGGAGGGUCGUCGGGGACCGCACCGCUUGAGGGCGGUAGGGGCUGGUGGAAUGCCUGGUGUAGUGGUGAAAUGCGUAGAGAUCAGGCGGAACACCUGUGGCGAAGGCGGCCAGCUGGGCCGUCCCUGACGCUGAGGCGCGAAAGCUAGGGGAGCGAACAGG